ACUUAGCAAGAGAUUGUGACAUUUCCUUGGGGGAGUCGCCCUUAGCCUUUGUUUCUUUUAGUUGAAUAGACUGGGAAACAACCUUGUUGCUUGUUCUGUCUGUCUUGACCCUGGAAACGCUGGAUUCCGUGAACUAUCUCCACAGCACUACGAGUCAAUCAGCAUUUUGCUACCUGAAAGUCCAUUCUGCAACAGGAUCCUACAACAUCAGUCCUGGUCUACAGAGGUCAGCCACCACAGAGAGUCUCAACAAUGCUGGUGUCCCUAUGAAUCCCGUUUCCUUUGGUCCCUUCUUCCAUCAUUUGCCCCAACAAUACUGGCAUGUCUCCCAAGGUUCUUGUGGUCGAAGAAAAAAAUUAUUAUCGUAGUGGUUGCAAGGGGAGUGCACAGCUGGAGGAAUGCAUGUAGCCAGGUAGUGUCUUCUGCACCAUGCUCAGCGAGGGAGCGGCAGCUGCUAACAACAGGAAUAGGCCUUUCCAGAUCCAGAGUCCAGCCAAAUGUGAGCGUUUAGAUUCUUCACCCUAAAUCUUAGGGUACCACUCCUUCCCAAACAGAG
Long non-coding RNA from Molossus molossus (Pallas's mastiff bat), 556 nucleotides. RefSeq lists it as uncharacterized. The transcript is spliced from 4 exons. The record is from RefSeq and is a predicted model, not a curated record. Lineage: Eukaryota; Metazoa; Chordata; Mammalia; Chiroptera; Molossidae.